UAGCUGAGGCCUUCCACCCCCCACCCCUCAGCCAGGUGGAUCAUUUAAGCUCCGUCCUGGGGGCUCAGUCCUCAUCUGAGAGUUGUUGGAGAAUCACUGCUGUCCAGCUCAGCUGCAGUCAUGCCCGUUUCAGGCUGUGGAUGCUAUUGAUACUGACCCAUGGACUGAUUUCCUGGCUUGGACUUGGGCCUGUCCCGUCACCGUGGACCUCCCUAGUGAUCCCUGGGCUGUGUCUGACCUGAUUACCCUGGUUUCAUCGUGACUCUGACUUGUGCUCUCUGCCUUAUCACCGGAAAGUGAGCUCUUAGAUGACUCUGGCUGUCACUCUGGGACUGCCCUGCUCAUCUUGCUCAGUGUGCAGCGGAAUGUCCCUAAUCUGAAAGCUGCUACACUGCCUGCCUAUCAACAUGCAAAUUAAUCAUCAAGUGACGAGUCCCAUAUUUGCUCUAAGUAAAAGCCUUUAAAGCAUAGCAAUGAGCCUGAUGCUUUGGAGCCAUCGAAGUAGAGGGGGAAUCUUUUGGUGCCCUGAGAACUGGAAAGUUUUGCCGUUGGAAGAUCUGAGAUCCCAAGUGGCGGGCAGAGAGCUGUGAGGAGGCUAACAGGCUGGGAAGAAGCACACCAGGGCAUGGAGAAUUUGGAUCGCAUAUCCUACCGCAGGGAGGACAGAG
Molecule: long non-coding RNA, 668 nt
Organism: Cygnus olor (mute swan)
Lineage: Eukaryota; Metazoa; Chordata; Aves; Anseriformes; Anatidae
Exons: 4
Source: RefSeq, a predicted model, not a curated record